CAGCCCAAGCUUUUGGCCAAGGAACUGCUUGACCUCGUGGCAUCUCACUUCAAUCUGAAGGAGAAGGAAUACUUUGGAAUCGCCUUCACAGAUGAGACGGGACACUUAAACUGGCUUCAACUAGAUCGAAGAGUCUUGGAACACGACUUCCCCAAAAAGUCGGGACCAGUGGUUUUAUACUUUUGUGUCAGGUUCUAUAUAGAGAGCAUCUCAUACCUAAAGGACAAUGCCACCAUAGAGCUCUUCUUCCUGAACGCCAAGUCCUGUAUCUACAAGAGGCAUACCUUCCGAGAAAUAAGAAAAGAGGCUCCCGGGACUUCCCUGGUGGCGCAGUGGUUAAGAAUCCGCCUGCCGAUGCAGCGGACACGGGUUCGAGCCCUGGUCCGGGAUGAUCCCACAUGCCGCGGAGCAACUAAGCCCGCGUGCCACAACUACUGAGCCCGCGUGCCACAACUACUGAAGCCCGCGUGCCUAGAGCCCGUGCUCCGCAACAAGAGAAGCCACAGCCAUGAGAAGCCCGCGCACCGCAACCAAGAGUAGCGCCACAACUAGAGAAAGCCUGCGCACAGCAACAAAGACCCAACGCGGGCAUAAAUGAAUGAAUGAAUGAAUGAAUGAAAGAAAAGAGGCCCCCCACGCUGAAGGACCUUCCACUGCUAUUCAGUUCCUCAGAGGAGCAAUUUGAUCCUUAGAUGAUUUAAGUUGGGUGAAGUGAGGGCCUGGUCAAAAUAACUAGCUGCCCUGUUAUGAAUCUCAUGUUUGAACGGAAGGGGUUUGACCAUCCACUCUUUAUAUACAUCCAUCACAUUUAAAUGCUUGAUCUCAAAGUUUGUCUUGUCCGAAAUGAUAACCAAAGAAACAGGGCCCGUGGCCACCAUCUGAAGACGCACAGAAAUGUGUCUCCUGGGUUGGAGGAGAAGUUGGCACCAGCAUUUCUCUGAGUGAAUUUUGACGAUCACCUUCCACUGACCUCUCACUAAACAAGGCGCAUAGUCAAUGCUCAGUAAAUUGUUUUUAAUGGCUUCGUUUCCAAUCCCAGGGAGCAAGGAUUUGCAUAUUUCCUAGGAAAUUACCAAGUUUGGAGCCUACAUGUACCCACUGAGAGCAGAUCAUGUCAGAAAAACAAACAAACUUAAAAUUCCUCCUUUCUGUGCACUGGGGGGUCUUGUCCAGCCUUCUGUGCCUAGAUAUCCGCAUUGAACUAAGAACGUCAUUUAUGAUGGAAGUCUAAACAGUCAUCCCUGGGCCAAGUUUGCUGCUUUGGUCUAAAUACCAUCACUCUUGCUGAAAUUAAAAUAAGCAAUCUUUAUCUAAGAUCUUCCAAGAGAUUUGCUAAUGAGCAGAGGAUAUCUCCUCUGAAGAUGAGAGAAACAAAAGCCCAGAAUCAAGUUCCACAGGACAAAGGAACCAACAUAAACAUUUGUCUCAGACUCACAGAAUCCUGGUCCUUAUCUCUUAGAUGGAGGAUUGCCAGCUUGGUGUGUGUGCUCACGUGACAGAGAGAGGAAGAGAAGGAGGACAAAGAGGGACUUCCAUCUUCAACUCUCUAGAAAUAAACAUACGCAGACCCAUCAUCUGGGCUGUGCCCGUGACCUCUACAGGAGAGAUUCCUCAGGAUCGUGAAAUGGACUGUAUGCGGUGGACAGCGGGAGAAAUACCCGGGCCACCGAGUGAGAGAGUGCCCCAGAGAAACAUGAAGGGACUUGACUGAUGAAAAACUGGCAAAGGGCUCAGAGAGGAAUUGUGGAAGAUCACAUCAGCCUCACCCGGCUCCUCAGCCCCUGAUUGCCUGGGGCACCUUCCCGUAGCCACUGUAGGUUGUGCAGUGAGACAGGGCGUCACGUGGGCUCAACGAGGCUGAAUGUGGGUGUCAGGACCCACUGGGAUGUUAUACGUGGUGACCGAUACACACACACAUGUAGACACACACAAACAAUGCUGCCCACCUCCUUAAAAAAUAAGUCUUAGGGCUUCCCUGGUGGCACAGUGGUUGAGAAUCCGCCUGCUAAUGCAGGGGACACGGGUUCGAGCCCUGGUCUGGGAGGAUCCCACAUGCCGCGGAGCAACUGGGCCCGUGAGCCGCAACUACUGAGCCUGUGCGUCUGGAGCCCGUGCUCCGCAACAAGAGAAGCCACCUCAAUGAGAAGCCUGUGCACUGCAACGAAGAGUAGCCCCCGCUCGCCAC
Physeter macrocephalus (sperm whale) is the source of this 2185-nucleotide RNA transcript. It is a transcript of the gene named FERM domain-containing protein 4A-like, with no coding region annotated. The record is from RefSeq and is a predicted model, not a curated record. Lineage: Eukaryota; Metazoa; Chordata; Mammalia; Artiodactyla; Physeteridae. The transcript is spliced from 4 exons.